This is a long non-coding RNA of Cyprinus carpio carpio, 1120 nucleotides long. Lineage: Eukaryota; Metazoa; Chordata; Actinopteri; Cypriniformes; Cyprinidae. The record is from Ensembl.
AGAGCCCAUCCUCCUCUGACAAGAGUUAAGCAAAAAAAUUAAUCUCAGAAUUAAUUGUAGGAUGAAGCAAGAGCACAGGUGCAGCUGCAGGUGGAGGCGACUCUAACAUAUAUAAGUCUGAUGGGUCACAUACAGAAGACAGUGAAGACUGAGGAACAUUUGAAGACUCUCAUUCAUCUGUAUCUCCAACAACAAAAACGUCUAAUAUCAGUAAUGAAGAGUGUAAAUGCAGUGAAGAUGUUGGCGGUGUUUGCUCUGGUUUUUCUGGUGUCCAGUGUGACUGAGGGACUGAUUAUCAGUAAAUGUGAGCUGAAGGAGAAGCUGGAGGCGACUCAGAUUCAGGUGAUUCGGGCCAUGGGAGACAAAAUGACCGUGAACGAUCUCAACGCUAGACUGGUCUGCUUGGCCGGCGCUACAGGCUUCAACACCAGCUUUGUCAAAAACAUCCCUGCCAAACCUAAAGAGCCCUUAAAUAGCAACUCCAUAAAACCGAACACGACGCGGCGUCCCGUCUGGCACCUGUACGGUGUGUUUCAGCUCAGUGAUCAGCUGGCCUGUGAUUCUGGCAUGAACCCAUCUCUCAAUGUCUGCAACACGAGCUGCACUGCUUUUACUGACGAUGACGUCACAGAUGACAUCGCCUGCCUGAAUACCAUUAUUAGCAGCAUUAAACCUAGACCGAAAAACAACAUCACUCUUCCACUUGUAACGCUGAGCACUAUUUUGGUGAAGGAGUGUCACUUUGUGGUUCCCUCUCAGUAUUUUGUGGAGUGUCCGAGUGGAACAACACCGUCGCCUGGAACAAUGCUGUGAUUUUACUCUCCUGACCUGCUGUAAUACUGUAGAUUUGAACCAGUCAACUACAGCAUCAUAUAGACUACCUAACUAACAAUGCUACAUACAGUCACAACAGUCUGAUGUUUCCACAGCAACUGCCUUUGAUUGAAUAAUGGUAAUGAGGUUGUUAUGAUGGUGGUGGGAUCUGUGCGAGUUUAAACAAUUUAAAGACUUUGAACAGGGGCCGCUUGUGCAUUAAUAAACUUUAUAUUAUUCCUGCAGUAUUGUAGAUGUUUGGUGGCAUUUCACAUUUCUGUCUACAACUGUAAUAAAGCAGUCUCUG